CCUACGGGAGGCAGCAGUGGGGAAUAUUGCACAAUGGGGGAAACCCUGAUGCAGCGACGCCGCGUUAGUGCAGAAGUAUUUCGGUAUGUUAAGCUCUAUCAGCAGGGAAUAAAAUGACGGUACCUGAUUAAGAAGCCCCGGCUAACUACGUGCCAGCAGCCGCGGUCAUACGUAGGGGGCAAGCGUUAUCCGGAUGUACUGGGUGUAAAGGGAGCGUAGACGGCAGCACAAGGCUGGAGUGAAAUGUCGGGGCUUAACCCCGGACCUGCGUUGGAAACUGAGCAGCUUGAGUGCAGGAGAGGUAAGUGGAAUGACUAGUGUAGCGGUGAAAUGCGUAGAUAUUAGGAAGAACACCAGUGGCGAAGGCGGCAUACUGGACUGUAACUGACGUUGAGGCUCGAAAGCGUGGGGAGCAAACAGGAUUAGAUACCCGGGGAGUC
Molecule: ribosomal RNA, 440 nt
Filed under: uncultured bacterium
Lineage: Bacteria
Description: partial 16S ribosomal RNA
Rfam family: Bacterial small subunit ribosomal RNA
Source: RNAcentral